RNAcentral lists this ribosomal RNA (253 nucleotides) under uncultured bacterium. RNAcentral describes it as "partial 16S ribosomal RNA". It matches the Rfam family "Bacterial small subunit ribosomal RNA", at positions 524 to 776 of the family's 1533-position model. The record is from RNAcentral.
UACAGAGGUCUCAAGCGUUGUUCGGAUUCAUUGGGCGUAAAGGGUGUGUAGGUGGCGCGCUAAGUCGGGUGUGAAAUUUCGGAGCUUAACUCCGAAACUGCAUUCGAUACUGGCGUGCCUGAGGACUGGAGAGGAGACUGGAAUUCAUGGUGUAGCAGUGAAAUGCGUAGAGAUCAUGAGGAAGACCAGUGGCGAAGGCGGGUCUCUGGACAGUUCCUGACACUGAGACACGAAAGCGUGGGGAGCAAACAGG